Molecule: long non-coding RNA, 218 nt
Organism: Tachysurus vachellii
Lineage: Eukaryota; Metazoa; Chordata; Actinopteri; Siluriformes; Bagridae
Exons: 3
Source: RefSeq, a predicted model, not a curated record
UUUAAUACACAAUGUUCUCUCCUUUAGUGAUGAACUGGCUGAAUAAAGUUGCUGAUGUGGGAAAAGGUAUUGCUAAUGGAGUCUGUCGAACAGUCACUCUCAUCUAAUCCAAACUGAACAGCAUUUAGAAAGCCACCAAUAGAAAUUACCUUGGUUGCUGCUCUGAGAUUUCAUUGGUUAACCACAAGCCCCACCCACAUUUUAUAGCUCUAAUAAAU